RNAcentral lists this transfer RNA (67 nucleotides) under Marmota monax (woodchuck). RNAcentral describes it as "tRNA.Ala". Lineage: Eukaryota; Metazoa; Chordata; Mammalia; Rodentia; Sciuridae. The record is from RNAcentral.
GAAUGUGGCUCAGUGGUAGAGUGCUUGUCCAGCAUGCAUGAGGCCUUAGGUUGGAUCCCUAGCACCA